AUUGAACGCUGGCGGCAUGCCUUACACAUGCAAGUCGAACGGUAACAGGUCUUCGGAUGCUGACGAGUGGCGAACGGGUGAGUAAUACAUCGGAACGUGCCCAGACGUGGGGGAUAACGAGGCGAAAGCUUUGCUAAUACCGCAUACGAUCUAAGGAUGAAAGCAGGGGACCGCAAGGCCUUGCGCGUUUGGAGCGGCCGAUGGCAGAUUAGGUAGUUGGUGGGAUAAAAGCUUACCAAGCCGACGAUCUGUAGCUGGUCUGAGAGGACGACCAGCCACACUGGGACUGAGACACGGCCCAGACUCCUACGGGAGGCAGCAGUGGGGAAUAUUGGACAAUGGGCGAAAGCCUGAUCCAGCAAUGCCGCGUGCAGGAUGAAGGCCUUCGGGUUGUAAACUGCUUUUGUACGGAACGAAAAGGCUCUGGCUAAUACCUGGGGCACAUGACGGUACCGUAAGAAUAAGCACCGGCUAACUACGUG
RNAcentral lists this ribosomal RNA (482 nucleotides) under uncultured bacterium. Its description in RNAcentral is "partial 16S ribosomal RNA". It matches the Rfam family "Bacterial small subunit ribosomal RNA", at positions 30 to 507 of the family's 1533-position model. The record is from RNAcentral.